UACGGAGGGUGCAAGCGUUAUCCGGAUUUACUGGGUUUAAAGGGUGCGUAGGCGGAUAGGUAAGUCCGUGGUGAAAUCCUGCAGCUUAACUGCAGAACUGCCGUGGAUACUAUCUAUCUUGAAUGUCGUGGAGGUUAGCAGAAUAUGUCAUGUAGCGGUGAAAUGCUUAGAUAUGACAUAGAAUACCCAUUGCGAAGGCAGCUAACUACGCGAUAAUUGACGCUGAUGCACGAAAGCGUGGGGAUCAAACAGG
This 253-nucleotide ribosomal RNA is filed under the name uncultured bacterium. Its description in RNAcentral is "partial 16S ribosomal RNA". It matches the Rfam family "Bacterial small subunit ribosomal RNA", at positions 524 to 776 of the family's 1533-position model. The record is from RNAcentral.